This 468-nucleotide small RNA is filed under the name Pan troglodytes (chimpanzee). RNAcentral describes it as "processed transcript". The record is from RNAcentral. Lineage: Eukaryota; Metazoa; Chordata; Mammalia; Primates; Hominidae.
CCCUGAAAAUGCAAGUCUUGUACGAGUUUGAAGCUAGGAACCCACGGGAACUGACUGUGGUCCAGGGAGAGAAGCUGGAGGUUCUGGACCACAGCAAGCGGUGGUGGCUGGUGAAGAAUGAGACGGGACAGAGCGGCUACAUUCCAAGCAACAUCCUGGAGCCCCUACAGCCGGGGACCCCUGGGACCCAGGGCCAGUCACCCUCUCGGGUACUACCCAGCCUGGACUAUCCAGAGCCCUAAGUCUUGAGUUGGAGGUGGGGGUGGGGAGGAUUCAGUGGCAAGCAGAGGAGAUAGUCUUGGUUUGAUUCGGACCGUAUUAUUGCAUGCUUAGUGUGCCAACUUUAUCAUGGGGCCAGAGCAGAGAACAAGACCAGCUCCCUGCCAGACCAGAAAGCCACAGAGUAGGAGAAGUGAUUUGAUGGGAACCUGGAGAAGGGACCCAGAUGUUAGGGGCUGUGGUUGGCUG